This 1017-nucleotide long non-coding RNA is filed under the name Oryctolagus cuniculus (rabbit). RNAcentral describes it as "lncRNA (ENSOCUG00000033179.1)". The record is from RNAcentral. Lineage: Eukaryota; Metazoa; Chordata; Mammalia; Lagomorpha; Leporidae.
AUGAGAGUGUCCUGUAGACAAGGUGGGAGUUUGUGGGCAGGUUUCUGGGGCGCACGGGCCGAGUGGAGAGACCGUUGGAGGCAGAGCACACAGGACAGCUCCUGGCCCAUGGCCCAAGGCCUGUGGUGGGGAAGUGUCCUUGCCAGGUUCACGUCCCGCCAGGUGGCCCAGUUCCCACCUGAGGCCACCGUACCCCUCCAGCCCAGAACCAGCUCUGCCUCAGCCCCUCGGCCAGCUGUUUGUUUCCAGGGUAGCAAGCCCCUUCCCCCUGCCCCCAGCCUCGGAUGCCAACAGAAAAGGUAAGGCUGGUGUUUGGUUUUCUCGGGUUGAAGGGCUGGCCAGGUGUGUGUGUGUGGCGGGGGAGUGACCUGUGGGGAGAAGACAGAGCGAUGCUGCUGUCAGCCUGGGGGUCUGUCCUGAAACUCAGUGCCUCCAGCCUCAGUUUCUUGGUUGCCCUGGCAACCCGGCCACCUGACCCUUGCCGAUCAUGUUAGUGACCAGCUGUAAGGCCAACCUCCCCACCCCACACCUUAUGCUGUUCGCGGCCACUGAAUGGGCGUGGCCGGAUACAGACCCUCCCCAUCAACUUCAGGAAGUGCUGACAAGGACCCCAUCCCACUCACCCCCCAGAGUCCCCAGCGGCAGUCCCCAGGGAGAGGGGAGUGUUGCCAACGUGAGGGCGCUGGGGGGGAUCCUGGGGAGUGGGGCUGUCUGAACCGGAGGCGCAGUCUGGACCUUCUCCCAGCUGCGUCUGUUUCCUGUGGCUGCUGUGACCACGCUGAUCCCCGCCUCCUGGGGUCUGCUGUGGGGACGCUGUGGGGUCAGGCAGGAGAGUCAGGGUGAGUCCAGGCCCCCACCGCAGGGGUUGGGUCCACAGGAAGACAGGGCGGGCGGGCAGUUGCCUUGGUGGGUGGAGCUGCCAAAUCUGCCCUGCUCAGACCCCGACUGGCCUGGCCCGGGGAUGAGGGAGGGUGUGCAGGCUCCUUGCCUGUGAGGAAUGAGCUGUUCACCCUCCCA